This 460-nucleotide ribosomal RNA is filed under the name uncultured bacterium. RNAcentral describes it as "partial 16S ribosomal RNA". It matches the Rfam family "Bacterial small subunit ribosomal RNA", at positions 338 to 795 of the family's 1533-position model. The record is from RNAcentral.
CCUACGGGAGGCAGCAGUGAGGAAUAUUGGUCAAUGGGCUUACGCCUGAACCAGCCAAGUCGCGUGAGGGAAGACUGCCCUAUGGGUUGUAAACCUCUUUUGUCAGGGAGCAAUUGGCGCUACGUGUAGCGUUAUCGAGAGUACCUGAAGAAAAAGCAUCGGCUAACUCCGUGCCAGCAGCCGCGGUAAUACGGAGGAUGCGAGCGUUAUCCGGAUUUAUUGGGUUUAAGGGGUGCGUAGGCGGAAUGCCAAGUCAGCGGUAAAAUCGCGGGGCUCAACCUCGCUCCGCCGUUGAAACUGGCGGUCUUGAGUGGGCGAGAAGUAUGCGGAAUGCGUGGUGUAGCGGUGAAAUGCAUAGAUAUCACGCAGAACUCCGAUUGCGAAGGCAGCAUACCGGCGCCCAACUGACGCUGAAGCACGAAAGCGUGGGUAUCGAACAGGAGUAGAUACCCGAGUAGUC